UAGCUUUAGGCUAGCCUCGAUACAGAUUUGCGGAGGUAGAGCACUGAAUUUCCUAGGGGGCGUCAAAGCCUACCGAAGAAUAUCAAACUCCGAAUGCCGCGUAAUCGAUUAUCGGGAGUCAGACUGCACGAGAUAAGUUGGGCGGUCAAAAGGGAAAGAGCCCAGACCUUCAGUUAAGGUCCCCAAGUGCGCGUUAAGUGGAAAAGGAUGUGGGAUUUCGAAGACAACCAGGAUGUUGGCUCAGAAGCAGCCAUCCAUUCAAAGAGUGCGUAAUAGCUCACUGGUCGAGAGGUCCUGCGCCGAAAAUGUCCGGGGCUGAAACGCGCCACCGAAACUAAGGAACCGAAAGGUUGGUAGAGGAGCAUUGCAUGCGGAACGAAGCAGUACCGUAAGGAGCUGUGGACUGCAUGGAAGAGAGAAUGCCGGAAUGAGUAGCGAG
This 439-nucleotide ribosomal RNA is filed under the name uncultured bacterium. RNAcentral's name for it is "bacterial LSU rRNA". It matches the Rfam family "Bacterial large subunit ribosomal RNA", at positions 865 to 1313 of the family's 2925-position model. The record is from RNAcentral.